This 429-nucleotide ribosomal RNA is filed under the name Gemmatimonadota bacterium. Its description in RNAcentral is "Gemmatimonadetes bacterium partial 16S ribosomal RNA". It matches the Rfam family "Bacterial small subunit ribosomal RNA", at positions 355 to 776 of the family's 1533-position model. Lineage: Bacteria; Pseudomonadati; Gemmatimonadota. The record is from RNAcentral.
UAGGGAAUCUUCGGCAAUGGACGAAAGUCUGACCGAGCAACGCCGCGUGAGUGAAGAAGGUUUUCGGAUCGUAAAACUCUGUUGUUAGAGAAGAACAAGGACGUUAGUAACUGAACGUCCCCUGACGGUAUCUAACCAGAAAGCCACGGCUAACUACGUGCCAGCAGCCGCGGUAAUACGUAGGUGGCAAGCGUUGUCCGGAUUUAUUGGGCGUAAAGCGAGCGCAGGCGGUUUCUUAAGUCUGAUGUGAAAGCCCCCGGCUCAACCGGGGAGGGUAGUUGGAAACUGGGAGACUUGAGUGCAGAAGAGGAGAGUGGAAUUCCAUGUGUAGCGGUGAAAUGCGUAGAUAUAUGGAGGAACACCGGUGGCGAAGGCGGCUCUCUGGUCUGUAACUGACGCUGAGGCUCGAAAGCGUGGGGAGCAAACAGG